UUUAUAAAAUGAGGAAACUAAGUCACAGAGGUUAAGUGACUUGCCUAAGAUAAAAGAGGGCCAAACCAGGAGUAGAAACAACAUCAUUUACUCACACGGAUUCUAUACCCAAUCCUGAGCCAUGUGAUCUGCUUCCUUCUGGCCUCCAUGUCACAUGGAUUCAGGAAGAAAUCUGAGUUCUAAUACUAAUAUUGGAGAUGCAGGGAGAACUUCUUUAUUCACAGGUCCCAUGCAUCAUUGGAAUGGUUACUAUGGAGCUGUCCUGGGAUACUCUUCUAUAGCAAUAGUGAAGACAGAUAUUGCAUUGUUUUACAAAUGGAACCUGCGAGUCUACGGAUGCCAUCUUUUUAACAGUAUGUGUUCACUUUGUGCCUUUGUGUCACAUUUUGCAAAUUCCACAAUAUUGUAAACUUUUUCAUUAUUAUUAUAUCUGUUAUAGUGACCUGUGAUCCUUGACAUUACUAUUGUCAUUGUUUGGGGGCAACACAAACUGUGCCCAUUUAAGAUGGUGAACUGAAUUCAUAAAUGUUUUCUGUUCUGACAGUUCCACCGACUGAAUAUUACCCACCUCUCUUCCCUUCCUUUGGCCUCCCUAUGCCCUGGACACAACUAUAUUGAAAAUAGGCCAAUUAAUAAACUUGCAAAGCCUUCUAAGUGUGCAAGUGAAAGAAAGAGCUGCAUAUCUCUCACUUGAAAUCAAAAGCUAUAGAUAUAAUGAACUUUAGUGAGGAAAAGCUUGUUAAAAGUCAAGAUAGGGUGAAAGCUAGGCCUCUUGCGCCAAACAGCCAAAUUGUGAAUGUAAAGACAAAGUUCUUGAAGGAAAUUAAAAGUUUGACUCCAGUGAACACACAAAUGUUAAAGCAGAACAGACUUAUUGCUAAUAUGAAGAAAGUUUGAGUGGUCUGGAUAGAAGAUCAAAGCAGCCACAAUAUUCCCUUAAGCCAAAGUCUAAUCCAGAGCAAAACCCUAACUCUCUUCAAUUCUAUGAUGACUGAGAUAGGUGAGGAAGCUGGAAAAUAAAAGUUUGGAGCUGGCAGAGAUAGUUUCACAAGGUUUAGAAAAGAAGCAAUCUUCAUAACAUAAAAGUGGACAGUAAAGCAGCAAGUGCUAAUGUAGAAGAUGCAGUGAAGUGUCCAGAAGACAAAACAGCCUUCUACUGGAAGAAGAUACUGUCUAGGACUUUCUAGCUAGAGCGGAGAAGUCAAUGGUUGGCUUCAAAGCUUCAAAGAAUAGGCUGAUUCUCUUGUUAGGGUAUAAUGCAGCUGUUGACUGAAGCCAGUGCUCAUUUACCAUUCCGAAAAUCCUAGGGCCCUUAAGAGCUAUGCUAAAUCUACUCUGCCUAUGCUCAAUCGAUGGUACAACAAAGCUAAGAUGACAGCACAUCUGUUUACUGCACGGUGUACUGAAUAUUUUAAGCCCACUAUUGAGAACUGCUGCUCAGAACAAGAGUUUUCUUUCAUUUUUAAAAAUACUACUGUUCAUUUACAGUGGGCCUGGUCACCUAAGAGCUCUGAUGGAGAGAUACGAAGAGAUGUUUCCAUGUGGGCUAACACUACAUCCAUUCUACGGCCCAUGGAUCAAGGACAAUUUUUGACUUUCAAGUCAUAUUAUUUAAAAAAUACAUUUUGUUAGGCUGUAGCUGCCAUAGAUAGUGAUUUCUCUGAUGGAUCUGGGUGAAGUAUGUUGAAAUCUUUCUGGAAAGAAUUUACCAUUGUAGAUAUCAUUAAUAACAUUUGUGAUUCAUGAGGACAGGUCAAAGUAUCAACAUGAACCAGUUUUUGGACACAGCUGAUUCCAGCUUUCAUGGAUGACUUUGAAAGUUUCAAUAUUUUAGUGGAGGAAGUCACUGCAGAUGGGGUAGAAAUAGCAAAAGAAUUAGAAUUGGACGUGGAGCCUGAAGAUAUAAUUGAAUUGCUGUAAUCUCAUGAUAAAAACUAAUACAGAUGAGGAAUUACUUCUGAUGGAUGAGCAAAGAUGUGACUUUUUUUUUUAAAUUUUUUUAGACAGAAUCUACUCCUGGUGAAGAUGCUGUGAAGAUUGUUAAAAUGACUACAAAGGAUUUAGAUGAUUAGUUAAACUUAGUUGCUGAAGCUGCAGUAGGUUUUUGAAAUGACUGACUCCAAUUGUGAAAGAAGUUCUAUGAGUAAAAUGCUAUCAAACAGCAUCAGAUGCUACAAAGAAAAUUUUUUUGUGAAAGGAAGAGUCAAUGAAUGCACCAAACUUCAAUGUUGUAUUAUGUGAAAAAAUUGCCACAGCGACCCCAAAAGUCAGCCACAACCACUCUGAUAAAUCAGCAGCCAUCAACAUAGAGACAAGGCCCUUCACCAGCAAAACGAUCACAGCUCACUGAAGGUUCAGGUUAUUGUUUGCAAUUUUUAGCAACAAAUCCUUUUUAGUUAAGAUAUGUACAUUGCUUUUGAUAUGUACAUUGCUUUUUAGAAACAGUGCUAUCACAUACUUAAUGGACUACAGUAUAGUAUAAAUAUAACUUUUAUAUGCACUGGGAAAUGAAAAAGUUUGUGUAACUUGCUUUAUUGUGAUAUUUGCUUUAUUGCAGUGGUCUGGAACUGAACCUACAAUAUUUCUGAGGUAUUCCUGUAAAAGCACAAUUCCAGGAUUCUUGUGGUGAUGGAAAUUUUCUGUAUUUUGUCUAUGGUUGUGGAUACACAGACCUGUAUGUGUGGUAAAACUGUAUAGAACUAAAUAAACACACAAAUACACACACGCACACACACACACACAAGUAAGUACAUGUAAAUCUUUGGAAAUCAGCGUAAGAUCAGUGGAUAAUGAAACACAUGUCAAAAUCCUGCAAUAUUUGCAUUACAGUUUGAAAGAUGUUUCCAUUGGGGGAAAAUGGGUAGAUGGUACAUGAGAUAUGCUUGUGUUAUUUCUUACAAUUGAAUAUGAAUCUAUGAUAAUCUAAAAAACCUUUUUUUCUAAUUUCAUAUUUGGUACUUCUAACUUUAGAAAGAUGACUUAGUAUAGUUUCAUGUUUUUGAGAUAGAUAAGACAUUUUCAUCCAGAAAUUUCAAAUAUCAGCAACUGAGGUCUAAAGAGAUGAAGGGCCUGACUUGCAGUCACUCCACAGCAGCUAUGAAAAAAAUAUCAGUUUCCUGCCUUCCCCCAAAGUACAGGGCAUUUUGCAUUCCGAAUGCCGAAACAGCACAGUGAGUUGUCUGCUGGGUGUGAUUAAACCUCUCAAAGUACAUUGGUGCCCUGAAAGCAUGUCAAUGUGGAUCACACUUCGUUUCCAGAGAGGUAACCUGGCUCUUUAUGUGCAGCCUCAGGAAAAGGUUUUCUUAAAAAAAAAAAAAAAAGAAA
This is a long non-coding RNA of Gorilla gorilla gorilla (western lowland gorilla), 3324 nucleotides long. RefSeq lists it as uncharacterized. The transcript is spliced from 3 exons. The record is from RefSeq and is a predicted model, not a curated record. Lineage: Eukaryota; Metazoa; Chordata; Mammalia; Primates; Hominidae.